This 199-nucleotide microRNA precursor is filed under the name Arabidopsis thaliana (thale cress). Its description in RNAcentral is "MIR854 microRNA precursor family". It matches the Rfam family "MIR854 microRNA precursor family". The record is from Rfam by way of RNAcentral. Lineage: Eukaryota; Viridiplantae; Streptophyta; Magnoliopsida; Brassicales; Brassicaceae.
UGGAUGAAGACAGAGGAGUGGAGUUCGACACUAGCAUGUAUCACUUUGGUGAACAUGUACCUCCAGCGAGGGAGAGCAAGAGCUUGACUGACUGCAGAAGUGGUGCAAGAAGCAGGACAAACUGCUCGCCAAGUGUUUCAAGACUAUCAAGCUUCUAACAGAUAAGCUGAGUUGUUCCUCCUCCACCACUGCUAUUCCA